CACGCCUGCAAUCCUCUAGCACUUUGGGAGGCCGAGGCGGGCGGAUUGCCUGAACUCAAGAGUUCGAGUCCAGCCUGGCCAACAUAGCGAAACUCCGUCUCUGCUAAAAAUACAAAAAAUUAGCCGGCGUGGUGGCGCCUGUAGUCUCAGCUACUCGGGAGGCUGAGGCAAGAGAAUCGCUUGAACCCGGGAGGCCGAGAUCGCGCCAUUGCACUCCAGCCUGGGCAACAAAAGCAAAAACGCCGUCUCAAAUAAAUAAAUGAAAUAAACUUAGUAAACUAUUUUUAAAUAAUGUUAAAAUUAACGGUGUACGUAGUAGAACUGUGAGAGAUCUCAUCUUGGAAAUAGAGUGAUAUACUUGAAGGCAAGAGAUUGGGUCAGGUACUAUUAACACGUUUUACACAUGAACAAACCGACACUAAGAGGUAAGGUAAUUUGCUUAUGAUUGAGUUCCCAAGUACAAAGCUGAUUUUUGAACUAAAAUCUGACUCGAAAAUCUGCUCUUUUCUUAUCAGGCUGCUUCCUACAAAAAUAUAACCUCGCUUAGCAUCUGCUUGUUAAGCAUCCACCCUCACAGCUCUUUGGCAUUCAAAUGUUUGUUGAGUAGGGGUAAUAGAGCACUACGUUCGAAUCAGAAAAUGCCUUAUUUUUCCUUGCUUGCAAGAGCCUAUUAUAAAUAAAUGCCUUGUUUUCGCUGUGUCUCUUUCUUGUUGUCGAGAGCUCAGGCUGGUCUUAAUUUCUGCAACCAUAGUAUUAUCUCCCAGGUCUCCUUCUGCCCUGUGUAUUUUGCAGUUAUGCUUUAUGUGGAGAUGAAGCAUCCUAAGUGUGGAGAACGAUAUAUGGGGCCCGAACAAUAGGUGCUGAAGCCAGAUUGUGUGACUAAAGUUGGUAUUUGAACAAACCAAGUGUUUAUUUUUUUAAAGAGCAUGGUAAAAACUAAGUUUCAAAAAUCGAUGCUGGCAAAAAUUUCCUUGAAAAAAUUCUCACCAAGUUCACUUGCACGGUACUACCUGGGGAAUGAAACACAUUUGUCAAGGACACGCCCAAAACUAUGUUGCUGUUGUAAUUUUCAAAGACUGGGAACUGCGGCAGGGGGAGUUACAAUUAAAGCAAACAUCGGCGUAUCAGUUUAUUCAUUCAGCAAACGUUUAUGAAGCAACAAACGUAUGCCCAAUAUUUCAGUCUUGCUGCUCUUCCUCCCCAAAUUCAGGAACCUUUGCAACGGAAAGCGGCCUCGGGCAGGCGCCUUUUGAGCAGAGGAGUAAAACCGGUAAGUCAGCAGUGGAACCCGCCUCCCCGGAAAUCCUUGGAGGGGGCGGGGCCCUGGGGAGCGCGCUCUUCCCAGCGGCAGCUGGGGAGGCGCAUGCGUACUUGCGUCAUCGUUGGGUAGCAGCGGGGAGGCGUGGGAGGAUCUGAGGCCUGCGGUGGGCCUUGGUCCCUUCUCUCCCCGCCCCGAAGCCGCCUGCUCAACCUGAGGGCCACCGGCCUCUAUCCGUCGGUGCCGAUGCUCCUUGCUUCCCAGCCAGAGCGUCUCAUCUCUGGGCCCGGAGCCCCAGGCUCGUUCUCCUCAGCCCCUGCCGGCGGCGGCGCUCUUGCAGCCAUUCCUGUGAGGUCGUUUUUCGGAGCAGCCGGGCCGGCCGAGGAGUAAGUAGGCGCCAGAGUUCUAGCUCGGGCAUCUGCCUCGGGGCCCUGUCGCCGCCGCGCCCCGGAUCCUGCGUUGGUCCUGUCCGAUAAAGCGGAGGUCGGCCCUGCUUGCUGACGAGACCGUAAAAACCACGGCGCUUGGCGCCCUGCCGCCGCCACACCACACCAAAGUGUACCUGCCCGAGGCUGGCUUCGGGCGCGAGCUUGCAUUUGUGACUUUCUCUUACCGUCUUUGUUUGCUUCGUUUUAAGUAUUACUUCCAGAUAAGGGACACAUUCUCGAAAUACUUUGAAAACAGUUUUGAAUUUUGUUCCUCCCGUUGAAACGGAUUAAAUUUGGACCUUUCAAGCUACACUGUGCAAUCAUCAAUCUCAAUAAGCUCUUAAUAGGCUCAUUCUUCCGUAGGCUACAAACAAAAUAAAGAUCAUAACAUCCUGCGGAGGAAGCCAUUGGUCCAUGUAGAGUCGCCAGAUGUCAAUUAAGAGUAGAUCGCUUUUCAGAGAAUACUUAACGACUCUGGUUUAGACCUAGACUUGGAACUUUGAGGUGUUUGGAACACUGGGCAGAAUUUUCCUUUGUUACAAAACAAAGUUUAUGAGAACGUAAUUUGUUUUUGUUGUUUUUGUUGUUAGUAUUGAAGCAAUUUUGGUGCAAACCAAAGGAUAACAAAGCAAAACAAUGAAAAUCACCCAGAGUUCCAUUACCCACACUGAACCAACUUGAAUAUAUUGGUUUAUUUUGGCUUUUUUCCAUAUGAAAUGUUAAAUUUUCUUGUACUCACGUGUAGAAUAUGAUAGUUUGCUCUUUCAUGUAACAUGUCUCCCAAUUUUUACAUACAUAAUUCUAGUUUCAGUAAGCAUUUUUAUAACUACACUCUUUUUCCUUUGUUAUUGUAUGUCUAGGUUAUUUCAACUUUGCACUGUUGCUUGUAACUACUAUGUGAUGAGGCAGUAGCUAGAUUAGUAUUUAGAACGUGAGCAUUCAAGUCAGGCAGACCUGGGCUUCACAACUUACUGUGCAAUUUCAAAGAGUUUAACUUUUUUGAGCCUCAUUUUACACAGUAACAUGGGGAUAAUGGUUCUGAUUGCAUAGAAUUAUUAUGAGAGUAAGAUGAAAUAAUGAGUGGAAGUGCCUGCAGCAUGUAUUGUUAGUAAAUGCUGUAUUACUGCAGGCAAAUUUUUCUUUUGUUGUGGUUUUUUGGUGACAUGUAUGAUUUAUUUCCAGAUUUUGAAUAUACUUAAAUACUAUUAACCACAGUAGGGGUAUGGGGUUUGAUCCACAGCUUUUCAUAUAUUUUAUACAAUAUAUUGUGUGUUUGAUACACAGCUUUUCAUAUACUUUAUUAUAAGUAACACAUGAAUUAGAAAUAAUUUUUCACAAUAGGAAAAACUUUUUAAAAAUUAAAAUUUAUAAUCCUGCUAACCGUAGGUGAAUAGUCACAUUUUGGGCAAUCCUUUUUUAUGCAUAUAUAUGUAGUGGUUUUAUUUUAUUUUAUUUUAUUUUUAUUUUUUGAAACGGAGUCUUGCUCUGUUGCUCAGGCUAGGGUGCAAUGGUGCGACCUCGGCUCACUGCAACCUCCGCCUCACGGGUUCAAGCAAUUCUCCUGCCUCAGCCUCCCGAGUAGCUGGGAUUACAGGCGCCCGCCGCUGCGCCCGGCUAAUUUUUAUAUUUUUAGUAGAGACGGGGUUUCACCAUCUUGGCCAGGCUGGUCUCGAACUCCUGACCUCGUGAUCCACUCGCCUCAGCCUCCCAAAGUGCUGGGAUUACAGGCAUGAGCCACCGUGCUGGGCCUGUAGUGUUUUCUAAAAAUAGAAUUAUAUUAUAAAUUGGGUUUAUCAACUUGCUGAAAAUGGCAGAGGCCAGUGCGAUGAGAGUAGGGUGAUUAAGGGAGUAGGAAGUAAUGCAGGAAAGGGAGUUUGUAGGAUUUAGAUUUCACUGAAAGUGUACUGGACAGGUUGGGCAUAGUGGCUCAGGCCUGUAAUUGUGUCACUUUGGGAGGCUGAAGUGGAAAGAUCCCUUAAGCCCAGGAGUUCGAGCCAGCCUGGGCAACAUAGGGAAACCCUAUCUCUAUAAAAUAAAAAUAAAAAUAAUUAUUUUGAAAAAAAAGUUUACUGGACAGAGUAAGUUCAGGGUUGAGGAGUGACCUGAUUUGUUUUAGAAGGCUCAUUUGGCUGCCAUAUGGAGAUAGACUGCAAGGGACCAGGGGAGGAAGAUGCAAUCCAAUUAGGAGAGUAUUUAAGUAAUCUCUGUGAGAGAUGGUGUUAGUUUCGAUCAGGGUGUAAGUAGGGAAAAAUGAUUGGGUUCUGGAUAUAUUUUGAAGGGAGAAGUUAUAGGAUUCACUGAUUGAUGGGAUGUGGAAUUCAAGAGAAAGUGACUUAAAGAAUUUUGGUUUGGGCAGUUAAACAGAUACAGUUGCUACUUACCAAGAUAGAGACUGAAAGUUGGGGGAAACUAAAUAGAGUUCUGUUUCAGUCAUGUUACCUGUUGUGGAGUCUAACUAGUUGGAACAGGAGUAUGAAAGACUUAAUCUUCUGUUCUUGAGGUAUCAAUUUGUCCCUUCAUUUCUGUCAGUUUUUGCUACAUAUAUUCUGUUACUAGGUGCAUCUAUCCUUGUAAAUUGUUACAUCUUCCUUGUGGGUUUAUCCUUUUAUCAUUAAAAAUGUUUCUCUUUUUCUCUAGUAACAUUGUUUUAAAGUCUAUUUUGUCUGAUAUUAAUGUAGCUAUUUCAGUUCUCACGUGAUUACUAUUUACAUGCUUUGUAUCAUUGACUCUAAAAUGUGUCUCCUGUAGACAUAUAGUUGGAUCUUGGUUUGUUUUUUGUUUGUUUGUUUGUUUUUUGUUUUGAGACAGAGUCUUGCCCUGCCUCCUUGGCUGGAGUACAAUGGCGUGAUCUGGGCUCACUGCAACCUCCACCUCCCGGGUUCAGACGAUUCUCCCACCUCAGCCUCCCCAGUAACUGGGAUUACAGGGGCCCGCCACCACGCCCAGCUAAUUUUUGUAUUUUUAGUAGAGACGGGGUUUCACCAUGUUGGCCAGGCUGGUCUCAAACUCCUGACCUUGUGAUCCACCUGCCUCGGCCUCCCAAAGUGCUGGGACUACAGGCAUGAGCCACUGUGCCUGGCCGGAUCUUGUUUUUUUUAAUCUGAUAAUUUCUGCCUUUUGAUCCAAUUGUUUAAUCAUUCACAUUUAAUGUUAUUGAUAUAGUUGGAUUUAUGUAUGCCAUCUUAUUUUUGUUUUCCUUAUGUCUUGUCUUUUUCUUUUCCUGUCUCUCCUUUACUGCUUUGUUUUGGAUCAAGUGAAUAUCUUCUAAUGUAGCAUUUUAAUUUCUUGAAUGAUUUUUUACACUGUUUUAAGUUUUUUUUAGAGACUGUAGUGGUGCUCUAGGGCUUACCGUACAAUUAGCUUAACUUAUUAGAAUCAGCUUCAGAUUUAUACUAACUCAAUUGCAGUGAGAUAUAGAAACCUUACUCCAAUAUAGUUUUAUUCCAUGUCCCUGUUUUUUUGUGGUUUUGUUGUUGUACAUGUUAUAGUUGUUACAAACUCAACAAUACAUUACUACAAUUAUUACUUUUACAUCAUUUAAAGAAAAUGAACAAAGGAAAGCAAAUAUAUAUUUGUAGCUUUUGUUAUAGUAACCUUAUUUAUCAUUUCAGGUUGUUUGUUUAUUUUUCUUGUGGAUUCAUUACCAUCUGGAGUAAUUUUGUUUUCUUUUUCUUUCUUUUUUUUUUUUUUGGAGGGAUAACAGGGUCUUGCUCUGUUGCCCAGGCUGCUGGAGUGCAGUGUCAUGAAUAUAUCUCACUGUAGCGUCAAACUCCUGGACUCAAAGUGAUCCUUCCACCUCAACCUCCUGAGUAGCUGGGACUACAGGCACAUGCCACCAGGCAUGGCUAAUAUUUGUAUUUUCUGCACCUCAGCCUUCUGAGUAACUAUAUUACUCUAUAAGCACACAUCACCACACCCAGCUAAUUUUUAAAUUUUUUAUAGAGACAGAGUCUCACUGUGUUGCUCAGGCUGGUCUCUAACUCCUGGCCUCAAGUGAUCCUCCAGCUCUGGCCUCCCAAAAGUGCUGGGAUUACAGGCAUGAGUUCUUUGUAUGAGUUCCUUGUAUAUUUUGGAUAUUAACCCCUUGUUAGAUAAAAGGUUUUUCAGUAUUUUCUCCCAUUCCGUGGACUGCCUUUUCAUUUUGUUGUUUCCUUUGCUGUGCAGAAGCUUUUUUGUUUGGUUUAGUUCCAUUUGCUUAUUUUUGCUUUUGUUGCCUGUGCUUUUGGUGUCAUUUACAAAACAAACAAACAAAAUUAUUGCCAAGACUAAUGUCAUGGAGCUUUUCCACUGUUUUCUUCUAGUUUUACAGUUUCAUGUCUUACACUUAAGUCUUUUCACUUUUUUUUUUUUUUGAGACAGAGUCUCCCUCUGUUGCCCAGGCUGGAGUGCAGUGGUGUAUGAUCUUGACUCACUGCAACCUCCACCUCCUGGGUUCAAGUGAUUCUCCUGCCUCAGCCUCCCGAGUAGGUGGGAUUAUAGGCAUGUGCCACUGUGCCCGGUUUAUUUUUGUAUUUUUAAUAGAAAUGGGGUUUCACCAGGCUGGUCUUGAACUCCUGACCUCAAGUGAUCCACCCGCCUCAGCCUCUCAAGGGACUAGGAUUACAGGCAAGAGCCACUGCGCCUGGCCUCUUUUAACCAUUUUGAAUUGACUUUUGUGGAUGGGGUAAGAUAAGGGUCCAAUUUCAUUUCUUGGCAUGUGGUUAUCUAGCUUUUUCAACACCAUUUAUUAAAGAGACUAUCCUUUCUUUAUUGUGUACUUUUGACACCUUUGUUGAUGAUUAGUUGGCCACAUAAACGAGGAUUUAUUUCUGGGAUUCCUAUUCUGUUCCAUUGGUCUAUAUGUCUCCUUUUAUGCCAGUACCAUACAGUUUUGAUUACUGUAGGUCUGUAAUAUAAUUUGAAAUGAAGUGUGAUGCCACCAGCUUUGUUCUUCUUGCUCAGGAUCAUUUUAGAUAUUCUGGGUCUUUUGGGUUCUGUAUGGAUGUUAGGAAUUUUUUUUUUUUUUCUGUGAAAAAUGUCAUUGGAGUUUUGCUAGAGAUUGCGUUGAAUCUGUAGACUACUUUGUGUAUUGCAGACAUUUUGACAAUAAUGAUUCUUCUGAUCCUGAACAUGGGAUAGCUUUCCAUUUAUUUGUGUCAUCUCCAGUUCUUUCAUAUAUGUAUUAUAGCUUUUAGCAUACACAUCUUUCCCCUCCUUGGUAAAACUUAUUCCUAAGUAUUUUAUUCCUUUUGAUGCUAUUGUAAAUGGGAUUGCUUUCUUAAUUUCUUUCUUGGAUACUUCACUGUUAGUGAAGUGUAAUUGAUUUUUGUAUGUUGAUUUUGUAUCCUGAAACUUUACUGGAUUCGUUUAUUCAUUCUAACAGUUUUUAGUGGCGUAUUUAGGGUUUUCUGUAUAUAGGAUGAUGUCACCUGCAGAGACAAUUUUACUUCUUCCUUUCUGAUUUGGAUGCCUUUUAUUUCUUUUCCUUGCCUAAUUUCUGUGGCUAGGAUUUCUAGUACUAUGUUGAAUGUAAGUGAUAAGUGUGGGCAUCCUUGUCUGUCCUUGUCACAUUCAGUUGUAUGUGCAAUACUGGAACCAUCCAGCUCAUAGUCACGUAAUUCCUCUUUGUGCAGCCUCAUGUAAAAUCACACCCCUAUUCACAUUUUUUUCUGUCUGUCUCCCACCUCUCCAGGUCCCUGCCCUGCAACUUUCAGUUACUUCAGACUCUCAGAAGACUAGCCUCUAAAUACCUCAAUUUAUCUGCACUACUGUGGUCUACUUGAAAUUCUCUUCCCUCUUCUGCAGUUUGUAAUGGCAUUCAGGCCAAAAACUGUAGUAGUUUUAGGGCUCUCUUCAUUUGCUUCUCUGCUCCUAGGGAUCAUAGUGCUGUGCUAUCUGUUGUCCAGCAUCUGACACAGUUGGUUUUAUAUUUUGUCUGGUUUUCUAGUUAUUAAGCAGGUUAAGUCUGGUUCCUGCUGUUCUAUAUAGCAGGAAGCAAAGGUUCUCUCAUGAAUUUUUAGCAUAAUAACAUAAGCGUGGAUUCCAAAAAUUCAUUACACAGAUCCUGGAAAUCUGUUUACUAUGUUUUAUACAUUCUGUGAAAGCUGGAGAAUAUAUAUUUGUUUUACUAUGUGUAUCGCAAAUAAAAUAUCAAUUUCAUGUGCCAGAGAAUUGAAUACAUUAUCAAAGGGUCAUUUCAUAACGUUAUAAUCACCAUCCAUCCUGUAAGUCCUUUGAAAUUUCUUCUUUUCUAUGGAUCUAACAUUGAUCAAUAACGAAUUCCUAAGCAUCUAUAUUAGUUAGCCCAGUGUUUCUCAAAGUCCACCGCAUGUAAAAAUCAUCUAGGGAAUCUUUCUAAAAUGUGGAUUCUGAUUUAGUAGGUCUGGGGUGAGGUCUUCCCUUUUGCAAUUCCAGCAAGUUCCCAUGGGAUGCUGGUACUGGUUAAUGGAAGUCACUUAGAGUAGCAAGGAGCCUGUUUGCCUAGUAUUUACAAUGAGCACGUUUUGGGUAUCAUCAAAACAAGAGAAUCUAAAAAUGUAUGGUGUGGGUGGAAGGUUGUGUUACUUGAUAUUUCAAAAAGAUCAUUGAAAUCAGAAAAUCUCAGAGAUAUGUUGGAUUUCAUCACAUUUAUUCUAUGGCUUAAUGUUGUUUUAUUUUGAAUAUAUAAUAAGAGAGAUACCACAAAUCUUUAGCUAUUAAUAUUUAGGGAUGUUAAUGUCCUUAAUUCAUAUUGUCUCAAAUGUGAUUCAUUCCCUCUAUAGGUAUACUAAAACAGGCAUUCAUGCCUACAAAACCAUCUUCCUAACUUUCUUUCCUCUUUUUAGUCUCUUCCUGAACCAGUGACAGUGGUUCUCAAACAUUUUGGUCUGAGGACCCCUUUAUGGCCUUAAAAAUGAUCGAAGAGCUUUUAUUUAUGAAGGUAAUACCUGCUAAUACUUGUUGUAAUCUAUUAACAUUGAGAAAUGUAAAAAUUUUUAUUAAUUCACUUAAAAUAUCAAUAAACCCAUUAUUUGCUAAUAUAAAUUGCACUUUUUAAUGAAAAAUAACUUUAGUUUCUACUGUGUGCUUCUGCAUUUUGAAAAUAUGUCUAGGAUACGGUAUGUAUUUAGGAGAUAUUUUCUAAAUAAAUGCAUAUUCAUUUUUUAAAAUGGGACAAAUGUAGCAUAGACAUAUUUUUGCUAACAAUAUCCAUAUAGUUGCAAAUUUCACUUUUAGAAUUUGCUUUCAAAAACAGGUUGUUUAUUCUUCUUUGUUAUGCCUUAGUUAGUAAAUCAUAUAUUAUAAAACUUCUUCAAUGCAAUUGGUCUUUGGUCAGCCAUUGACAUAGGAAGAGUUAGAAAGAGUCCAGGGCUCCUUGGUACUGGCUGUGACUGGAUAAGUAGGUUGUGGCUUAGUUUGUGUUUAGGUGUCAUAACUAGGCUAGGUUUGGGUCCCAGAAAGUGCUAGCCUUACUGUAGGAGAGGAAGUGGUAUUGCUGGGUGUGUCCUCAGGUCAGGAAGUGGGACGAGUGCAGUAUGGAAGCCCAGGGGGGUCCUUGUGACUGGAGGAAAGGUGAGGUUUCCAGUAAAGGAUUCAGAAUUCGGGCAUGGUGCAGCAUGCCUAUAGCCCCAGCUACUCAGGAGGCUGAAGUGGGAGGAUCACUUGAGACCAGGAGUUCAAGGUUGCAGUGAGCUGUCAUUGCGCCACUGCACCCCAGCCUGGGUGACAGAGUGAGACCUGUCUCAAAAAUAAAUACAUAAAAAUAAUAAUUAAAAAAAAAGGAUUCAGAAUUCUAGAAUACAUAUUAUCUUUCUAUCAUGCAGAUCUGUUCUUAGGAUUGUAUUUUCCAAAUCAUGAAUAAAAUAAUUUCCAAAAUACUUAUUGGGAAAUUAUAUAUAUGUACUGUAUUACUUGGAAUAAAAAUCAAAUAAAAGUCAAACUUCUUAAUGUGGCUGUAAAGCCUUGAUUAUUUAAACCUUGCCUAUUUUUCAGUUUAAUCUUUCAGCCACACUGGCCCUUGUGUUAAUCCUAAAACAUGCCAUGCUUUUUCCUACAUUAAAGCUUAGGGUUUUUGAUAUUUCUACUGCCUGGAUUUCUCUGUUCUCACUCUUCCUCUUGAUCACCAUGACUUAUUUUUCAAGUGUUGGCUUAAAUGUCCGUCUCACAGAUAGCCCUUAUCUAAAUAACAGCUUUCCCUCUGGUUCCUAGAUAAAUUAGGACCUGUUUUUUUCUAUAACUUUCUUAAAGUAUCCUAUUAUUUUCCCUGAUAAAACCUUGUUGGACUGUUUGUCAGUAUAUUUAUUUGCCUGUUUGUUUGGUGUCAGUUUCUCUUUUUUUCCUGUGUGUUUUGUUUGUUUGUUUUUUUGAGACGCAGUUUCACUCUGUCACCAGGCUGGAGUGCAAUGGUGCAAUCUCGGCUCACCACAACCUCCACCUCCCAGGUUCAAGCAAUUCUUCUGCCUCAGCCUCCCGAGUAGCUGGGAUUACAGGCAUGUGCCACCAUCCUGGCUAAUUUUGUAUUUUUAGUAGAGACAGGGUUUUUCCAUGUUGGUCAGGCUGGUCGCAAACUCCCGACCUCAGGUGAUCCGCCUGUCUUGGCCUCCCAAGGUGCUGAGAUUACAGGCGUGAACCACCGCACCCGGCCUGUUUGUUUGUUUUCUUAUUAGACUAUAAACUAUAUGAGAUCAGACCAUGUCUCUUUUGUUUAUCACUCUGGCCUACCUGCUAACACAGUGCUUACACAUAAUAGUAGGUGCUCAAGAAAUACAGUGUUUGAUGGAUGAACGUAAAAUUGUAAGAGCCUGAACUAGUGUAAUAUCGAAAAUAGGGAGGAAGACAUGAAUUAGGAAAGCCUUUGAAAAAUUAGCAUGUUCUGUGAUAAAGCUACAUCUAGGCAAUAUUUUUUGAUACUUUUAAAAAAAAAACUGUAAUAGCUACCCAAUAUUUAGGAAUGAUACACAUCACACAUCUCAGUGAGGUAUGUAGCCUUUUGUACUGGUGAAGAGAGCCAGGUGAAGUCUAACUCUAAGGAUCUAAACACUCCAUUCUAGUAGAGAGCCUGGAGAAGUGCUCUUGCAUAAGCUCAUCCAUGUAAGACCAUCCAUAACUUAGUGAAAUAAUUUUCAUUGCUGUUUAGUUGCAAAAAUCACUCACUGUUUUGCCUCCAUAAGAUUAUCGGUUUUAGUGUUUAAUCGUUCACAGCCUUGUCAAAACCAAAAUGGCUAGGGAGAGAACUAUUUCCCUACAUUAAAACUUCGAGCAAUGCUCUUCAUAGAUUUUGUUUUGAAUUGUUUAGGCCCAUCUCAGAGUUCAAGACACUUAGUCUCUUCUAAGAGAAAUCAUGGUCACAACAAACAGAGAUUAAAUAAAGAGCAAGAAAUUAGAAGAAACUCAAACCAUUCACUUAGAUUAUUUGUUAGAUUUUGGCCUUAAAAAGAGACAAAGUUGCUUGAAACAAGUGAUUAAACUGACAUUUUUAGAUUAUUAUUUUAUUCAUACCUUUAUUGUGAAUAAAUUGGCCACAUGAUAACAUUUUAUAAUGUUAAAUAAAUAUGAUAUAUAUAAAUCUGUAUACCACAACAAUUAAAUUGGAGGGCGAUUUGCCAUUUAAAUAAUUUAUCAUAGGAUUUUUAUAAGAUCAAGCGCUUAGUGCAUAUCAAAGAGACAGAAAGUUUUCAUUGCAGUUCUGCACGUUCACUGAGUACCUUUUAUGUACCAGUUGCAUUGUUCUAGAAUCUUAUCUAUCAUGUAAAGCUAGGUACACCUGAAAUAGUUUAGUUAUGGUGGCAAAGUUAGACUGCAGUUAUUGGCUGGGAAUUUUUUGUAUAUCUAUGUACAUCUUCCAUAAGAGGGCAGCAAAGGACCAGCAUGAUUUUUUCCUUAUCAUGAAGUCAUAGCAGAGAUUGCCUCAUAUUGCAAACUUAAUAGAAAUCUUCUCAGAGUAAGGGCAAACAGAGGGCAUGGUUACAAGUUUACUUACUGUCUAGCCUGUCUUUUAUAUGGUCUGAUAUGGCUUUUUAGUACAUAGAUUAUCUCACAUCACAGUGAUAGCCUAGUGAUUAAAUGUUGAUCCUGGGGUCAGUUGUCAGGCUUUAAAUCCUGGAACCAUAACUUAACUAGCUUCGUGGUCUAGAAAGACUACUCAGUCUUUCUGAGCCUCAGUUUCUUCCUCAAUUUUUUAUAAAAAGGAGGGCAAGGGAUAGUAACAAUGCCACUUCACAUGGUUUUAAUAAACAAAAUAAAAUUUGUGUCCUGAAGAGGCUAAGAACAGUUAAAAGGUGGAGCUAGAAAAACCACCCUAUACUAGCCUUAGGUGUAUUGUAUUUAUUUAAGUUAAACUCUUAUUAAAAAGAGUCUCAUAAAGGAAAAUAUAGGUCAUUACUUUCUGUAACUACUUAGUAUUUUUAGUUAACUAACAUAUAUAUCUAUGUACUGACCAAUUAUUUGCUCGUACAAUUUAUCAAACCAAUUAAAUAUACACUGUUAAAUUUAUUUCCCUGUCCCCCGAGACAGAUCCUGGCUACGUUGCCCAGGCUGGAGUGCAGUGGCGCGAUUUUGGCUCACUGCAACCUCUGCCUCCCAGGUUCAGGCAAUUCUCCUGCCUCAGCCUCCUGAGUAGCUGGGAUUACAGAGGCCUGCCACCAUGCCUGGCUAAUUUUUGUAUUUUUAGUAGAGAUGGGAUUUCACCAUGUUGGCCAGGGUGGUCUCAAACUCCUGACCUCAGGUGAUCCAGCCGCCUCGGCCUCCCAGAGUGUUGGGAUUACAAGCAUGAGCCAGCACGCCUGGCCUGAAAAUACAUUUUGAUGAACAAAAAAUUUUUAAUUUUUUUUUUUUUUUUUUUCCUGAGACAGAGCUUUGCUCUGUCACCCAGGCUGGAGUGCAAUGGCGUGAUCUUGCCUCACUGCAACCUAUGCCUCCUGGGUUCAAGCAAUUCUCCUGCCUCAGCCUCCCGAGUAGCUAGGAUUACAGGCAUGGGCCACCAUGCCCGGCUAAUUUUUUGUAUUUUUAGUAGAGACGGGAUUUCACCAUGUUUGCCAGGCUGGUCUCAAACUCCUGACCUUGUGAUCCGCCCCCGUGGCCUCCCAAAGUGCUGAGAUUGCGGGCGUGAGCCACCACUCCCAGCCAAAAAUUUUUUAAUUUUAAAAGUCAAUGUAUAUCAUUUGUAUUUUAUAGUUAGUGCUUUUUUUGUAUUGUUUAAAUUUUUAAAAUUCUUCCAUUAAUCUAAAAUAUUUUCAUGUGUGCUUUCUACUAAGAGAAUUUAAGUUUUGUUUUUGACAUUAUAGUUUUUAAUACAUUUGGAUUUGGAUCUUAUAUCUUGUAUGAUACAGAACUCUAAUUUUCGCCUUUAACUACAUGCAUAAUCAUUUUUUCCACCUCCACUUAUUGAAUAGUUCCUAAUUUUCCCAUCAAUAUCAUGUGUUUCUUCUGGCAUAGCCAAAGUCCCAUAAAUGUGUGGGUCUGUUGUAGUUUCCUAUUUAAUUCAGUUAAUUUGUCCAAUUUGUUUUAUUAUGCCUUAAUUACCACAGCUUCACAGUAAGUCUUUAUGUCUGAUAGGGCAGCUUCCUCUAGUGUCUUCAGAAAUUUCCUGACUUUAAAAAAAAUCCUUAUUGUUCAUGCUUUUUUAAAGAAUUAGCUUUACAUGAUGCAAGAAAAAGAUCUGUUGGAAUUUUGAUUGUAAUUUUGUUAAAUCUAUAGGUCAACUAAUUACAAUAUUGAAUCUUCUUAUGCACAAACAUGGUAUAUUUCUCCAUUUAUUCAGGUCUUUAUUUAAUGUCUCCUAAUGUCUUUUUGUAGUUUUUACUUAGAGAUCUUACAUAUUUGUUAUUAUAUUUACUCCUAGGUACUUGGUAUUCUCUAAGAUUAUUGAAAAUGCUG
RNAcentral lists this long non-coding RNA (13518 nucleotides) under Homo sapiens (human). Its description in RNAcentral is "non-protein coding lnc-FAM217A-1:7". Lineage: Eukaryota; Metazoa; Chordata; Mammalia; Primates; Hominidae. The record is from RNAcentral.